AGGACAUACUGAGUUUACGCUCUAUAACCCUUUGUGAACAUACCUAUAACUGUUGCUUCGGCGGGUAGGGUCUCCGCGACCCUCCCGGCCUCCCGCCUCCGGGCGGGUCGGCGCCCGCCGGAGGAUAACCAAACUCUGAUUUAACGACGUUUCUUCUGAGUGGUACAAGCAAAUAAUCAAAACUUUUAACAACGGAUCUCUUGGUUCUGGCAUCGAUGAAGAACGCAGCGAAAUGCGAUAAGUAAUGUGAAUUGCAGAAUUCAGUGAAUCAUCGAAUCUUUGAACGCACAUUGCGCCCGCCAGCAUUCUGGCGGGCAUGCCUGUUCGAGCGUCAUUUCAACCCUCAAGCUCUGCUUGGUGUUGGGGCCCUACAGCUGAUGUAGGCCCUCAAAGGUAGUGGCGGACCCUCCCGGAGCCUCCUUUGCGUAGUAACUUUACGUCUCGCACUGGGAUCCGGAGGGACUCUUGCCGUAAAACCCCCCAAUUUUCCAAAGGUGA
RNAcentral lists this ribosomal RNA (498 nucleotides) under fungal endophyte. Its description in RNAcentral is "eukaryotic LSU rRNA". The stretch from base 181 to 334 matches the Rfam family "5.8S ribosomal RNA". Lineage: Eukaryota; Fungi. The record is from RNAcentral.